Molecule: unclassified non-coding RNA, 315 nt
Filed under: plant metagenome
Description: partial contains 5.8S ribosomal RNA, internal transcribed spacer 2, and large subunit ribosomal RNA
Rfam family: 5.8S ribosomal RNA (bases 1-105)
Source: RNAcentral
GAACUGCGAUAAGUAAUGUGAAUUGCAGAAUUCAGUGAAUCAUCGAGUCUUUGAACGCACAUUGCGCCCCCUGGCAUUCCGGGGGGCAUGCCUGUCCGAGCGUCAUUGCUGCCCUUCAAGCCCGGCUUGUGUGUUGGGUCGUCGUCCCCUCCGGGGGACGGGCCCGAAAGGCAGCGGCGGCACCGCGUCCGGUCCUCGAGCGUAUGGGGCUUUGUCACCCGCUCGAUAAGGGCCGGCCGGGCGCCAGCCGGCGUCUCCAACCUUUUUUUCUCAGGUUGACCUCGGAUCAGGUAGGGAUACCCGCUGAACUUAAGC